UGACCUCGAACAGACUCAAAUCUAGACCUCAAUGUAGACUCUAUUUUUGAAGCAAAAUUCAGAAUUAAAAUGAAGAAUUAGAAUAUUUUCUAUUGUUUAAAAUUCUAGGACUUUUGUAAUUGGAUCCCCAAUGUUCGUGUCCAAAUCUCCUCUCCUUGUUCGUAUAUAUGAGUUGCGGCUGAAACUUAGGCGACGGAGUUGAAGGUUUGUGGUGUGCCGUUACUAAUGCUGUCAACGAUGGGUGGUGGAAGACGGCGAAGCUGGUCGGAGUGGGAUGGCGGAGGCAACUGAUUCUCUUUGGUUUCUGUCGUGAUUUUAAGAGAGAGAACGGCUGGUUAAGAAGGUCAAGGCUAUGGUCGUUUUUAGUUCAAGAAGAUGGUAUUUUUUCUUGUUCUCAUGAAGAAGGUCACGACUGGCUCUUAGCUUGAAGGAUUCUAGGGUUUCAUGUUGUCUUAUGUCUAAGGUUGACG
This 470-nucleotide long non-coding RNA is filed under the name Nicotiana benthamiana. RNAcentral's name for it is "long non-coding RNA (NBEN_LNC042264)". Lineage: Eukaryota; Viridiplantae; Streptophyta; Magnoliopsida; Solanales; Solanaceae. The record is from RNAcentral.